This 391-nucleotide unclassified non-coding RNA is filed under the name soil metagenome. RNAcentral describes it as "partial contains 5.8S ribosomal RNA, internal transcribed spacer 2, and large subunit ribosomal RNA". The stretch from base 1 to 122 matches the Rfam family "5.8S ribosomal RNA", at positions 35 to 154 of the family's 154-position model. The record is from RNAcentral.
GAUGAAGAACGUAGCGAAAUGCGAUACUUGGUGUGAAUUGCAGAAUCCCGUGAACCAUCGAGUCUUUGAACGCAAGUUGCGCCCGAAGCCAUUAGGCCGAGGGCACGCCUGCCUGGGCGUCACACGUCGUUGCCCCCCCAUCUACUCCUUCGGGAUUGCGGGGGGCGGAUGAUGGCCUCCCGUGCGCCUCGCCGCGCGGUGGGCAUAAAUGCCAAGUCCUCGGCGACGCACGCCACGACAAUCGGUGGUUGCGAAACCUCGGUUGCCCGUCGUGUGCGGUCGUCGCGCAUCGAGGGCUCGAAAAAAUUGCCGGGUUCCGGCUCGGCUUUCAAUGCGACCCCAGGUCAGGCGGGGUUACCCGCUGAAUUUAAGCAUAUCAAUAAGCGGAGGA